GUCAGGGUAGCUCAGUUGGUUAGAGCGCGGGACUCAUAAGCCCGAGGUCGCGGGUUCGACCCCCGCCCCUGACA
This 74-nucleotide transfer RNA is filed under the name Patescibacteria group bacterium. Its description in RNAcentral is "tRNA-Met". It matches the Rfam family "tRNA". Rfam says of the family: Transfer RNA (tRNA) molecules are approximately 80 nucleotides in length. Their secondary structure includes four short double-helical elements and three loops (D, anti-codon, and T loops). RNAcentral also lists the same sequence under 2 other names. The record is from RNAcentral.